Molecule: ribosomal RNA, 1346 nt
Filed under: uncultured bacterium
Lineage: Bacteria
Description: bacterial SSU rRNA
Rfam family: Bacterial small subunit ribosomal RNA
Source: RNAcentral
GACGAACGCUGGCGGCGUGCUUAACACAUGCAAGUCGAACGGAAAGGCCCUGCUUUUGUGGGGUGCUCGAGUGGCGAACGGGUGAGUAACACGUGAGUAACCUGCCCUUGACUUUGGGAUAACUUCAGGAAACUGGGGCUAAUACCGGAUAGGAGCUCCUGCUGCAUGGUGGGGGUUGGAAAGUUUCGGCGGUUGGGGAUGGACUCGCGGCUUAUCAGCUUGUUGGUGGGGUAGUGGCUUACCAAGGCUUUGACGGGUAGCCGGCCUGAGAGGGUGACCGGCCACAUUGGGACUGAGAUACGGCCCAGACUCCUACGGGAGGCAGCAGUGGGGAAUAUUGCACAAUGGGCGGAAGCCUGAUGCAGCAACGCCGCGUGCGGGAUGGCGGCCUUCGGGUUGUAAACCGCUUUCGCCUGUGACGAAGCGUGAGUGACGGUAAUGGGUAAAGAAGCACCGGCUAACUACGUGCCAGCAGCCGCGGUGAUACGUAGGGUGCGAGCGUUGUCCGGAUUUAUUGGGCGUAAAGGGCUCGUAGGUGGUUGAUCGCGUCGGAAGUGUAAUUUUGGGGCUUAACCCUGAGCGUGCUUUCGAUACGGGUUGACUUGAGGAAGGUAGGGGAGAAUGGAAUUCCUGGUGGAGCGGUGGAAUGCGCAGAUAUCAGGAGGAACACCAGUGGCGAAGGCGGUUCUCUGGGCCUUUCCUGACGCUGAGGAGCGAAAGCGUGGGGAGCGAACAGGCUUAGAUACCCUGGUAGUCCACGCUGUAAACGGUGGGUACUAGGUGUGGGGUCCAUUCCACGGGUUCCGUGCCGUAGCUAACGCUUUAAGUACCCCGCCUGGGGAGUACGGCCGCAAGGCUAAAACUCAAAGGAAUUGACGGGGCCCCGCACAAGCGGCGGAGCAUGCGGAUUAAUUCGAUGCAACGCGUAGAACCUUACCUGGGUUUGACAUGGAUCGGGAGCGCUCAGAGAUGGGUGUGCCUCUUUUGGGGUCGGUUCACAGGUGGUGCAUGGCUGUCGUCAGCUCGUGUCGUGAGAUGUUGGGUUAAGUCCCGCAACGAGCGCAACCCUUGUUCACUGUUGCCAGCACGUUAUGGUGGGGACUCAGUGGAGACCGCCGGGGUCAACUCGGAGGAAGGUGGGGAUGACGUCAAGUCAUCAUGCCCCUUAUGUCCAGGGCUUCACGCAUGCUACAAUGGCUGGUACAGAGAGUGGCGAGCCUGUGAGGGUGAGCGAAUCUCGGAAAGCCGGUCUCAGUUCGGAUUGGGGUCUGCAACUCGACCUCAUGAAGUCGGAGUCGCUAGUAAUCGCAGAUCCGCAACGCUGCGGUGAAUACGUUCCCGGGGCU